CACUCCUGCGGGAGGCAGCAGUGGGGAAUAUUGCACAAUGGGCGCAAGCCUGAUGCAGCCAUGCCGCGUGUAUGAAGAAGGCCUUCGGGUUGUAAAGUACUUUCAGCGGGGAGGAAGGCGAUAAGGUUAAUAACCUUGUUGAUUGACGUUACCCGCAGAAGAAGCACCGGCUAACUCCGUGCCAGCAGCCGCGGUAAUACGGAGGGUGCAAGCGUUAAUCGGAAUUACUGGGCGUAAAGCGCACGCAGGCGGUCUGUCAAGUCGGAUGUGAAAUCCCCGGGCUCAACCUGGGAACUGCAUUCGAAACGGGCAGGCUAGAGUCUUGUAGAGGGGGGUAGAAUUCCAGGUGUAGCGUUGAAAUGCGUAGAGAUCUGGAGGAAUACCGGUGGCGAAGGCGGCCCCCUGGACAAAGACUGACGCUCAGGUGCGAAAGCGUGGGGAGCAAACAGGAUUAGAAACCCCAGUAGUCCCAUG
RNAcentral lists this ribosomal RNA (474 nucleotides) under uncultured organism. RNAcentral describes it as "partial 16S ribosomal RNA". It matches the Rfam family "Bacterial small subunit ribosomal RNA", at positions 334 to 799 of the family's 1533-position model. The record is from RNAcentral.